UAAGACUUUGAAGCUACAUUCUUUUUUUUAUUAUUAGUUGUUCAAAACAUUACAAAGCUCUUGAUAUAUCAUAUUUCAUACAUUUGAUUCAAGUGGGUUAUGAACUCCCAUUUUUCCCCCAUAUAUAUAGAUUGCAGAAUCACAUCGGUUACACAUCCACGUUUAUACAUACUAGUGUCUGUUGUAUUCUGCUGUGUCUUUCCUAUCCUCUUCUAUCACCCCUCCCCUCCCCUCCCCUCCCAUCUUCUCUCUAUCCCAUCUACUGUACUUCAUUUCUCUCCCUUGUUUUUUUUCCCCCUUUCCCUUCAGCUCCUCUUAUAUGUAAUUUUGUAUAACGAUGAGGGUCUCCUUCCAUUUCCAUGUAAUUUCCCUUCUCUCUCCCUUUCCUUCCCACCUCUCGUCCCUGUUUAAUGAUAAUCUUCUUCUCAUGCUCUUCCUCCCUGCUCUGUUCUUAGAUGCUCUCCUUAUAUCAAAGAAGACAUUUGGCAUUUGUUUUUUAGGGAUUGGCUAGCUUCACUUAGCAUAAUCUGCUCUAGUGCCAUCCAUUUCCCUGCAAAUGCCAUGAUUUUGUCAUUUUUUAGUGCUGAGUAGUACUCCAUUGUGUAUAAAUGCCACAUUUUUUAAUCCAUUCAUCUAUUGAAGGGCAUCUAGGUUGGUUCCACAGUCUAGCUAUUGUGAAUUGUGCUGCUAUGAACAUCGAUGUAGCAGUGUCCCUGUAGUAUGCUCUUUUAAGGUCUUUAGGGAAUAGUCCAAGAAGGGGAAUAGCUGGGUCAAAUGGUGGUUCCAUUCCCAGCUUUCCCAGGAAUCUCCAUACUGCUUUCCAAAUUGGCCGCACCAAUUUGCAGUCCCACCAGCAAUGUACAAGUGUACACUUUUCCCCACUGAAGUUACAUUCUUAUAAGCUAUUUUUACCUGUGGCAAGCAUGUAUGUAACAUUAUUCAGGUAUGAAAAACCAUGAAAUAAAAGACGAUUCAGAAAACAUUGUGAUCAGUUCAUACUAUAAAUGCCUCACUUUACAUGUAGAAAAAGAGGUGUAGUCUUAGAAAAUUUUUUUCUUCUAUAUUAAAUAAAUGCUGAAUGGGCUGGGGCUGUAGCUCAGUGGUAGAGCCCUUGCCUUGCUUGUGG
RNAcentral lists this long non-coding RNA (1126 nucleotides) under Marmota monax (woodchuck). Lineage: Eukaryota; Metazoa; Chordata; Mammalia; Rodentia; Sciuridae. The record is from RNAcentral.